GACGAACGCUGGCGGCGUGCUUAACACAUGCAAGUCGAACGGAAAGGCCUUUUCGGAGGUACUCGAGUGGCGAACGGGUGAGUAACACGUGUGUGAUCUGCCCUGCACUCUGGGAUAAGCCUGGGAAACUGGGUCUAAUACCGGAUAGGACCGCACUUUAGUGUGUGUGGUGGAACGUUUUUUCGGUGUAGGAUGAGCCCGCGGCCUAUCAGCUUGUUGGUGGGGUAAUGGCCUACCAAGGCGGCGACGGGUAGCCGGACUGAGAGGUUGGUCGGCCACAUUGGGACUGAGAUACGGCCCAGACUCCUACGGGAGGCAGCAGUGGGGAAUAUUGCACAAUGGGCGCAAGCCUGAUGCAGAGACGCCGCGUGGGGGAUGACGGCCUUCGGGUUGUAAACUCCUUUCGCCAGGGACGAAGCGUUUUGUGACGGUACCUGGAGAAGAAGCACCGGCUAACUACGUG
This 463-nucleotide ribosomal RNA is filed under the name uncultured bacterium. RNAcentral's name for it is "partial 16S ribosomal RNA". It matches the Rfam family "Bacterial small subunit ribosomal RNA", at positions 28 to 507 of the family's 1533-position model. The record is from RNAcentral.